Molecule: transfer RNA, 73 nt
Filed under: Marmota monax (woodchuck)
Lineage: Eukaryota; Metazoa; Chordata; Mammalia; Rodentia; Sciuridae
Rfam family: tRNA
About the family: Transfer RNA (tRNA) molecules are approximately 80 nucleotides in length. Their secondary structure includes four short double-helical elements and three loops (D, anti-codon, and T loops).
Source: Rfam by way of RNAcentral
UGGGGUUUCAGCUCAGCGGUAGAGCACUUACCUUGCACAUGUGAGACCCUGGGUUCGAUCCUCAGCACCUCAU